GCCCAGGUGGCGAAAUUGGUAGACGCGCAUGGUUCAGGUCCAUGUACUUACAAGUAUGGAGGUUCAAAUCCUCUUCUGGGCACCA
This 85-nucleotide transfer RNA is filed under the name Candidatus Kinetoplastidibacterium crithidiae TCC036E. RNAcentral describes it as "tRNA-Leu (CAG) (tRNA-Leu-CAG-1-1)". It matches the Rfam family "tRNA". Rfam says of the family: Transfer RNA (tRNA) molecules are approximately 80 nucleotides in length. Their secondary structure includes four short double-helical elements and three loops (D, anti-codon, and T loops). RNAcentral also lists the same sequence under 1 other name. Lineage: Bacteria; Pseudomonadati; Pseudomonadota; Betaproteobacteria. The record is from RNAcentral.